Molecule: small RNA, 28 nt
Filed under: Bombyx mori (domestic silkworm)
Lineage: Eukaryota; Metazoa; Arthropoda; Insecta; Lepidoptera; Bombycidae
Description: ovarian small RNA-28006
Source: RNAcentral
UCCUUAAUCUAGUAAACUACACUGCUCC